CAGUCGCCGCGGGAAUACGUAGGGUGCAAGCGUUAAUCGGAAUUACUGGGCGUAAAGCGUGCGCAGGCGGUUUGUUAAGACAGAUGUGAAAUCCCCGGGCUCAACCUGGGAACUGCAUUUGUGACUGGCAAGCUAGAGUAUGGCAGAGGGGGGUGGAAUUCCGCGUGUAGCAGUGAAAUGCGUAGAUAUGCGGAGGAACACCGAUGGCGAAGGCAGCCCCCUGGGCCAAUACUGACGCUCAUGCACGAAAGCGUGGGGAGCAAACAGGAUUAGAUACCCCGGUAGUCCCUGUCUCUUAUAC
This 301-nucleotide ribosomal RNA is filed under the name uncultured bacterium. RNAcentral's name for it is "partial 16S ribosomal RNA". It matches the Rfam family "Bacterial small subunit ribosomal RNA", at positions 509 to 807 of the family's 1533-position model. The record is from RNAcentral.